AUUGAACGCUGGCGGCAGGCCUAACACAUGCAAGUCGAGCGGAUGAAGGGAGCUUUCUCCUGGCUUCAGCUGCCGACGGGCGAGUAAUGCCUAGGAAUCUGCCUGGUAUUGGGGGAUAACGUCCGUAAACGGGCGCUAAUACCGCAUACGUCCUUAUGGUGAAAGUGAUGGAUCUUCGGACCUAACGCUAUCAGCUGAGCCUAGGUGGGAUUAGCUAGUUGGUUGGGUAAGGGCGUACCAAGGCGACGAUCCGUAACUGGCCUGAGAGGAUGAUCAGUCACACUGGAACUGAGACACGGUCCAGACUCCUACGGGAGGCAGCAGUAGGGAAUCUUGGGCAAUGGGCGAAAGCCUGAUCGAGCAACGCCGCGUGUGUGAAGAAGGUCUUCGGAUCGUAAAGCACUGUUAGUUGGGAGGAAGGUAAGUAAGUUAAUAUCUGGCUGUCUUGACGUUACCAACAGAAAAAGCAACGGCUAACUUCGUG
Molecule: ribosomal RNA, 484 nt
Filed under: uncultured bacterium
Lineage: Bacteria
Description: partial 16S ribosomal RNA
Rfam family: Bacterial small subunit ribosomal RNA
Source: RNAcentral